Molecule: ribosomal RNA, 2140 nt
Filed under: Escherichia coli
Lineage: Bacteria; Pseudomonadati; Pseudomonadota; Gammaproteobacteria; Enterobacterales; Enterobacteriaceae
Description: partial 23S ribosomal RNA
Rfam family: Bacterial large subunit ribosomal RNA
Source: RNAcentral
GGGCGUUAAGUUGCAGGGUAUAGACCCGAAACCCGGUGAUCUAGCCAUGGGCAGGUUGAAGGUUGGGUAACACUAACUGGAGGACCGAACCGACUAAUGUUGAAAAAUUAGCGGAUGACUUGUGGCUGGGGGUGAAAGGCCAAUCAAACCGGGAGAUAGCUGGUUCUCCCCGAAAGCUAUUUAGGUAGCGCCUCGUGAAUUCAUCUCCGGGGGUAGAGCACUGUUUCGGCAAGGGGGUCAUCCCGACUUACCAACCCGAUGCAAACUGCGAAUACCGGAGAAUGUUAUCACGGGAGACACACGGCGGGUGCUAACGUCCGUCGUGAAGAGGGAAACAACCCAGACCGCCAGCUAAGGUCCCAAAGUCAUGGUUAAGUGGGAAACGAUGUGGGAAGGCCCAGACAGCCAGGAUGUUGGCUUAGAAGCAGCCAUCAUUUAAAGAAAGCGUAAUAGCUCACUGGUCGAGUCGGCCUGCGCGGAAGAUGUAACGGGGCUAAACCAUGCACCGAAGCUGCGGCAGCGACGCUUAUGCGUUGUUGGGUAGGGGAGCGUUCUGUAAGCCUGCGAAGGUGUGCUGUGAGGCAUGCUGGAGGUAUCAGAAGUGCGAAUGCUGACAUAAGUAACGAUAAAGCGGGUGAAAAGCCCGCUCGCCGGAAGACCAAGGGUUCCUGUCCAACGUUAAUCGGGGCAGGGUGAGUCGACCCCUAAGGCGAGGCCGAAAGGCGUAGUCGAUGGGAAACAGGUUAAUAUUCCUGUACUUGGUGUUACUGCGAAGGGGGGACGGAGAAGGCUAUGUUGGCCGGGCGACGGUUGUCCCGGUUUAAGCGUGUAGGCUGGUUUUCCAGGCAAAUCCGGAAAAUCAAGGCUGAGGCGUGAUGACGAGGCACUACGGUGCUGAAGCAACAAAUGCCCUGCUUCCAGGAAAAGCCUCUAAGCAUCAGGUAACAUCAAAUCGUACCCCAAACCGACACAGGUGGUCAGGUAGAGAAUACCAAGGCGCUUGAGAGAACUCGGGUGAAGGAACUAGGCAAAAUGGUGCCGUAACUUCGGGAGAAGGCACGCUGAUAUGUAGGUGAAGUCCCUCGCGGAUGGAGCUGAAAUCAGUCGAAGAUACCAGCUGGCUGCAACUGUUUAUUAAAAACACAGCACUGUGCAAACACGAAAGUGGACGUAUACGGUGUGACGCCUGCCCGGUGCCGGAAGGUUAAUUGAUGGGGUUAGCGCAAGCGAAGCUCUUGAUCGAAGCCCCGGUAAACGGCGGCCGUAACUAUAACGGUCCUAAGGUAGCGAAAUUCCUUGUCGGGUAAGUUCCGACCUGCACGAAUGGCGUAAUGAUGGCCAGGCUGUCUCCACCCGAGACUCAGUGAAAUUGAACUCGCUGUGAAGAUGCAGUGUACCCGCGGCAAGACGGAAAGACCCCGUGAACCUUUACUAUAGCUUGACACUGAACAUUGAGCCUUGAUGUGUAGGAUAGGUGGGAGGCUUUGAAGUGUGGACGCCAGUCUGCAUGGAGCCGACCUUGAAAUACCACCCUUUAAUGUUUGAUGUUCUAACGUGGACCCGUAAUCCGGGUUGCGGACAGUGUCUGGUGGGUAGUUUGACUGGGGCGGUCUCCUCCUAAAGAGUAACGGAGGAGCACGAAGGUUGGCUAAUCCUGGUCGGACAUCAGGAGGUUAGUGCAAUGGCAUAAGCCAGCUUGACUGCGAGCGUGACGGCGCGAGCAGGUGCGAAAGCAGGUCAUAGUGAUCCGGUGGUUCUGAAUGGAAGGGCCAUCGCUCAACGGAUAAAAGGUACUCCGGGGAUAACAGGCUGAUACCGCCCAAGAGUUCAUAUCGACGGCGGUGUUUGGCACCUCGAUGUCGGCUCAUCACAUCCUGGGGCUGAAGUAGGUCCCAAGGGUAUGGCUGUUCGCCAUUUAAAGUGGUACGCGAGCUGGGUUUAGAACGUCGUGAGACAGUUCGGUCCCUAUCUGCCGUGGGCGCUGGAGAACUGAGGGGGGCUGCUCCUAGUACGAGAGGACCGGAGUGGACGCAUCACUGGUGUUCGGGUUGUCAUGCCAAUGGCACUGCCCGGUAGCUAAAUGCGGAAGAGAUAAGUGCUGAAAGCAUCUAAGCACGAAACUUGCCCCGAGAUGAGUUCU